GCCGAGAUUCUCGCAUGCUUCGGGGAUUCGCAGUAUCGUAGUUGCAUUUGUUGUGGGCAUUGUUAAUGUUUUCAAACACCUAAAGGCUGACUAGUUUGAGGUACAUCCGUUAUCUUCAACCAGAAUGAAGGCAGUGUUUCAUCUUUGUGGCCCUCGCAUAUGAGCUUAUGUAGAAUUUGAAUUUUCCAUAAGCUGUUUGUCUGUCUACUUGGAUUCACUCAGGGUUUCAAGAUGGCUCUCAAAAAGGAGUGUACUACAAGGUGCAGGCGAAAAUCAUCGCUUAUGCUGUUAGAUAGUAGAUUAACGAAACCCUUGAAGGUUUCUUGAGGGCCGCUGUGGUGCUGAGUUUAGCUCUAACUUGCUUCAACACACCUGCCCUGGGGUUUCUAGUAUAUCUAGUAAGAACUUGAUUAGCUGCUUCAGGUGUGUUUGAUUAGGGUGACCCGAGUUUGGACACCCCUGCAUUAGAGGGAGAGUAAAUAGAUGGCCUGAUGCCUGUAGUCAGUUGGAUGAUUAUAUACACUAGAUGCCUUGAUUCUGCAUGAAUGGGGGAUUAACCACUAGAAGGUCCAUUCAAAGGAUUCUAGAAAUUGUACCAAUUCCAGUCUGGAUCCAGCCUACCUGGUGAACACCACAGAAGACAUCAAAGCUAAUGAGUUUAGAUAACUAGAACUGGACAAACAGAGUUGGCAAAAAUCAAAGCAAACACCACUACAUUACUAUAUUAUUAUUAAAACAAUAAAAAUAUAAAAGAGAUAGAUGGACUUGGUGAGAUUUACCUGUUUUGUGAUGAUUUUGUUUAGCUGUAGAUUUAAAUAUCCAUUGAGGAAAAAUAUUUGCACCAUUAAGAACUGAUCAUAUUGAUCUCUGUUGCUAUCUUAUGGCGGAACAAUGUAACGCCAAACUGCCAAAGAAUUUCCAUUAAAUA
This 928-nucleotide long non-coding RNA is filed under the name Danio rerio (zebrafish). Its description in RNAcentral is "si:dkey-65l23.1 (ENSDARG00000094538.3)". The record is from RNAcentral. Lineage: Eukaryota; Metazoa; Chordata; Actinopteri; Cypriniformes; Danionidae.